ACGAACGCUGGCGGCGUGGAUAAGACAUGCAAGUCGAACGCUGAUUUCAGGGUAGCAAUAUUCUGGAGUCAGAGUGGCGCAAGGGUGCGUAACACGUGGGUAAUCUGCCGUGAAGUUGGGGAUAACUCGCUGAAAGGCGAGCUAAUACCGGAUGUGGAUCUUGGAAGGCAUCUUUCGGGGUCCAAAGUUGGGGACCUAAGGCCUGACGCUUCACGAUGAGCCCGCGGCCUAUCAGCUAGUUGGUGAGGUAACGGCUCACCAAGGCUAAGACGGGUAGCUGGUCUGAGAGGACGACCAGCCACACUGGAACUGAGACACGGUCCAGACACCUACGGGUGGCAGCAGUCGAGAAUUUUUCACAAUGGGCGAAAGCCUGAUGGAGCGACGCCGCGUGGGGGAUGAAUGGCUUCGG
This 412-nucleotide ribosomal RNA is filed under the name uncultured bacterium. RNAcentral describes it as "bacterial SSU rRNA". It matches the Rfam family "Bacterial small subunit ribosomal RNA", at positions 29 to 421 of the family's 1533-position model. The record is from RNAcentral.